CCCUACGGGGCGCAGCAGGCGAAUCUGCAACAAACUUUGCUGCGCAUCAGCGGCGCGAUUCAGGUGCUGGAUGAAUUGUUGAGCACCGCACCCCAACCAGAGUCCGCCGGCGAUGCACCAAUGGAUUUGCCCGUAGCGUCCGGCAGCGUUCCGCUGAAAGCGGCCCAGUAACCCUCGACCACUUCACCUCGGCGCCGGACCAUAUCAACCCUCUUGCAAGUAGUCCAGGGCGAAGCAGUGAUAGUCAUGCUGGAUUUCUGAGCCGGACUUUACCCAUUCUGCAACAAAAGUAAGAUAAAUUACCUCAGCGACACCACAAGGCCGUGGCAGGACGCCAGGCUGCAGAGCAAGCUUGGCUACCAUGCCGAGUUCAAUCCUGCCUCUGACAAGGGCUUUUCAAUUGAGUUGUAAGAAUAUGUAAUAUGUAGAUCGGGAGGGC
This 439-nucleotide ribosomal RNA is filed under the name uncultured prokaryote. RNAcentral describes it as "partial 16S ribosomal RNA". The record is from RNAcentral.